RNAcentral lists this long non-coding RNA (282 nucleotides) under Mytilus galloprovincialis (Mediterranean mussel). The record is from RNAcentral. Lineage: Eukaryota; Metazoa; Mollusca; Bivalvia; Mytilida; Mytilidae.
AAAGUAUAAAAGUGAUUGGUGUUCGAAAACAGUUUUUGGAUCAUGUUUACAUAAGGACCAUAAAAGGACUAUACAAACAAGGUCUACUUACUCUAGGCCUAAGUCUAUUUACAUAGCGGUUCUUAUAUAUGAAGGUAAGUUAGUUUCUAUAUGUUCUCAGUACAGCUUUGCAUAUAAUAAAAUGCCACAUAUCUCUUUUAAAGCACCCCCUAAAAUCUCUUAAAACGAAUACAUCUAAAUGUUUUAAGUACGAUAAAAUUUUCUGUUCUCGUAAAUACCCGC